UGUUGGUGAGGUAACGGCUUACCAAGGCGACGAUCUGUAGCGGGUCUGAGAGGAUGAUCCGCCACACUGGAACUGAGACACGGUCCAGACUCCUACGGGAGGCAGCAGUGGGGAAUUUUGGACAAUGGGGGCAACCCUGAUCCAGCCAUGCCGCGUGAGUGAAGAAGGCCUUCGGGUUGUAAAGCUCUUUCGGCCGGGAAGAAAUCGCAUGGGCCAAUACCCUGUGUGGAUGACGGUACCGGAAUAAGAAGCACCGGCUAACUACGUGCCAGCAGCCGCGGUAAUACGUAGGGUGCGAGCGUUAAUCGGAAUUACUGGGCGUAAAGCGUGCGCAGGCGGUUUUGUAAGACAGGCGUGAAAUCCCCGGGCUCAACCUGGGAACUGCGUUUGUGACUGCAAGGCUAGAGUACGGCAGAGGGGGGUGGAAUUCCACGUGUAGCAGUGAAAUGCGUAGAGAUGUGGAGGAACACCAAUGGCGAAGGCAGCCCCCUGGGUCGAUACUGACGCUCAUGCACGAAAGCGUGGGUAGCAAACAGGAUUAGAUACCCUGGUAGUCCACGCCCUAAACUAUGUCAACUAGGUGUUGGGUGGGUAAAACCAUUUAGUACCGUAGCUAACGCGUGAAGUUGACCGCCUGGGGAGUACGGCCGCAAGGUUAAAACUCAAAGGAAUUGACGGGGACCCGCACAAGCGGUGGAUGAUGUGGAUUAAUUCGAUGCAACGCGAAAAACCUUACCUACCCUUGACAUGCCAGGAACUUGCCAGAGAUGGCUUGGUGCCCGAAAGGGAGCCUGGACACAGGUGCUGCAUGGCUGUCGUCAGCACGUGUCGUGAGAUGUUGGGUUAAGUCCCGCAACGAGCGCAACCCUUGUCGUUAAUUGCCAUCAUUUAGUUGGGCACUUUAGCGAGACUGCCGGUGACAAACCGGAGGAAGGUGGGGAUGACGUCAAGUCCUCAUGGCCCUUAUGGGUAGGGCUUCACACGUCAUACAAUGGUCGGUACAGAGGGUCGCCAAGCCGCGAGGUGGAGCCAAUCCCAGAAAGCCGAUCGUAGUCCGGAUUGCAGGCUGCAACUCGCCUGCAUGAAGUCGGAAUCGCUAGUAAUCGUGGAUCAGCAUGUCACGGUGAAUACGUUCCCGGGUCUUGUACACACCGCCCGUCACACCAUGGGAGCGGGUUCCGCCAGAAGUAGGUAGCCUAACCGCAAGGAGGGCGCUUACCACGGCGGGGUUCGUGACUGGGGUGAAGUCGUAACAAGGUAGCCGUAGGGGAACCUGCGGCUG
This 1282-nucleotide ribosomal RNA is filed under the name metagenome. Its description in RNAcentral is "bacterial SSU rRNA". It matches the Rfam family "Bacterial small subunit ribosomal RNA", at positions 247 to 1520 of the family's 1533-position model. The record is from RNAcentral.